UGGGGAAUUUUGGACAAUGGGCGAAAGCCUGAUCCAGCAAUGCCGCGUGUGUGAAGAAGGCCUUCGGGUUGUAAAGCACUUUUGUCCGGAAAGAAAUCCUUGGCUCUAAUACAGUCGGGGGAUGACGGUACCGGAAGAAUAAGCACCGGCUAACUACGUGCCAGCAGCCGCGGUAAUACGUAGGGUGCAAGCGUUAAUCGGAAUUACUGGGCGUAAAGCGUGCGCAGGCGGUUUGCUAAGACCGAUGUGAAAUCCCCGGGCUCAACCUGGGAACUGCAUUGGGUGACUGGCAGGCUAGAGUAUGGCAGAGGGGGGUAGAAUUCCACGUGUAGCAGUGAAAUGCGUAGAGAUGUGGAGGAAUACCGAUGGCGAAGGCAGCCCCCUGGGCCAAUACUGACGCUCAUGCACGAAAGCGUGGGGAGCAAACAGGAUUAGAUACCCUGGUAGUCCACGCCCUAAACGAUGUCAACUAGUUGUUGGGGAUUCAUUUCCUUAGUAACGUAGCUAACGCGUGAAGUUGACCGCCUGGGGAGUACGGUCGCAAGAUUAAAACUCAAAGGAAUUGACGGGGU
Molecule: ribosomal RNA, 572 nt
Filed under: uncultured bacterium
Lineage: Bacteria
Description: partial 16S ribosomal RNA
Rfam family: Bacterial small subunit ribosomal RNA
Source: RNAcentral